AUCAGAAAAUAUCACAUCCACCAUUCCAACCAACAUUCUGUAUUUGGCUGGGUGUCUAGCAUCCUCAAUAAUGGGGAUAACAUUAGUACGUUUCUUAGCCAUGUUCACCAAGUCCCUUCCACUUCUGUGAGAAAAUUCAACAGCAUAUACAACCCCUUCAGGACCAACAAGGUCUGAGACAUGAGAUACUGUUGUUCCUGAAGCAGCACCCAAGUAAAGGACACGGGCACCUGGUUUAAUCCAAAUAUCAUCAACUCCUCCAAGAAUUGCAGCUGCUAACUUAGAACGGAAAGGAUUCCACACUCUGUAUUCGACCUUUGUUCCAUCUUCAUUCUGAACAGAAAUUCUCUUUUCAUUGUAGACAGCUUCACCGGGUACCAAAUUCUUAGUACAAAGAGCAUCUUCUUUUCCCUUAGCAAUGAACACGCCCCCAUGUCUAUGAGGCUCGACCACAACCUUACUACCACCCUUCAUUCCUCCACGUCCCCUUCCUCCACCUCUUCCACCUCUGUCUCCUCUACCUCCUCUACCUCCUCCUCGCUUCAUCCCACUUCCUCCACUUCCAAAACCCCCUCUUCCACCACUGAAACCACCUCUACCACCUCGCCCUCCUCUUCCUCCUCCAUCUCCUCUACCUCCCCUGAAUCCACCACCACCACGACCUCUAGUUGGUGCAACCAUGGCUGCUGCUGCUGGAUAUUGAUGGAAGCAGAGAAGAGUUAUCAAGUAGAGCUCUA
Molecule: unclassified non-coding RNA, 737 nt
Filed under: Hevea brasiliensis (rubber tree)
Lineage: Eukaryota; Viridiplantae; Streptophyta; Magnoliopsida; Malpighiales; Euphorbiaceae
Source: RNAcentral